This 274-nucleotide long non-coding RNA is filed under the name Manihot esculenta (cassava). RNAcentral describes it as "long non-coding RNA (MESC_LNC012725)". The record is from RNAcentral. Lineage: Eukaryota; Viridiplantae; Streptophyta; Magnoliopsida; Malpighiales; Euphorbiaceae.
AGGAGGAGGCUAACACGUCGAACACAGUGGUGUCAGGUAAUCUCAUCAUUGGGUGUUCAGAUGUGUAUGCUUUGAUGGACCCCGGUGCUUCUCAUUCCUUUAUUGCUUCGAGAGCCAUAGAGCGAUUGGGUUUGAUCAGUUCUGAGUUAGAGUAUCCUCUCUGGGUCAGUGGACCUAGAUGUGACCCAUCAGUGGCAGUGUCAGUCUGUCGUUUCAGUCCAGUAUUCAUAGAGGGUAGAUGCCUUCCAGCUGACCUUGUGGUUCUAGACUUGAC